AGAUAUGUAGUUCAGUGUAGAGCACUUGCAUAGCAUGCAUGAAGCCUUGGGUUCUAUCCCCAGCAUUGCCA
Molecule: transfer RNA, 71 nt
Filed under: Ictidomys tridecemlineatus (thirteen-lined ground squirrel)
Lineage: Eukaryota; Metazoa; Chordata; Mammalia; Rodentia; Sciuridae
Description: Spermophilus tridecemlineatus (thirteen-lined ground squirrel) tRNA
Rfam family: tRNA
About the family: Transfer RNA (tRNA) molecules are approximately 80 nucleotides in length. Their secondary structure includes four short double-helical elements and three loops (D, anti-codon, and T loops).
Source: Rfam by way of RNAcentral